Molecule: ribosomal RNA, 253 nt
Filed under: uncultured bacterium
Lineage: Bacteria
Description: partial 16S ribosomal RNA
Rfam family: Bacterial small subunit ribosomal RNA
Source: RNAcentral
UACGUAGGGUGCAAGCGUUGUCCGGAAUUAUUGGGCGUAAAGAGCUCGUAGGCGGCCUGUCGCGUCGGUUGUGAAGGCCCGGGGCUUAACCCCGGGUCUGCAGUCGAUACGGGCAGGCUAGAGUUCGGUAGGGGAGACUGGAAUUCCUGGUGUAGCGGUGAAAUGCGCAGAUAUCAGGAGGAACACCGGUGGCGAAGGCGGGUCUCUGGGCCGAUACUGACGCUGAGGAGCGAAAGCGUGGGGAGCAAACAGG